Molecule: unclassified non-coding RNA, 214 nt
Filed under: Hevea brasiliensis (rubber tree)
Lineage: Eukaryota; Viridiplantae; Streptophyta; Magnoliopsida; Malpighiales; Euphorbiaceae
Source: RNAcentral
GAUGGGCGCAAUGUGGUGGACGCAGAGAAGCUAAGAGAGAUCGGGUUUAUUGUCUACUCGAUCGGGAAGCCAUUGGAUGCAUGGCUCAAAGACAUGCCUGCUGUGGCCUAAAAGGGAAAUUUACUGGUAGAAGGCGAGACAGAGCAGAGAUCGGUGAAAUUUGAGUAGCUCGUUCAAUUCAUCAGGCUUGGUUUAAGGAUUUUUCAUAAUUGUU